GGGGGGGGGGGCGUACGCCCUCUACACCCCCCUCUGGAUCCGCCACUGUCAGCAAACAGUCUUGUAUUUAAUUCUGAAUAGAACAAAAUGUAAAAUAAGUGAAUAAGUUAUAGAUUAAAUAAUAAAUAAAUAAUUAAAUAUUCUUUAUUUAGUUUUUUCUUUAUUCUCACUUCUUCCAGAGACAUGUACGAAUGUACAUGUAUGUCUCUGAUUCUUCAUGGUCUUAUAUUAAGGAUUUGUAGAGUAUACAAAUCCUUGAUUAUAACAAAGGCAUAUAAUACUCAGUGUACCACUUCUGAACUUUUUUGUAAUUAUUUUCUCUACUUAAAUCCCCAUUCUUGAUUCCAGACCGGGUUCCGGACUAACUCUCAUAUACGUAAAUGAUCGUAAAUGUACGAAAGCUUGACACGUCGAAUACGAAAACCCGGAAAUAUUUUCUCCGUUGCCGUUUUUUAUACUAUGACGCAAAAUCCAUGGACGCUCGUCUGCUGUUGAAUUCAUGUUUUACAGUUUAACAAGGAUUUGUAUAGUGUCACUGUACAAAUCCUUGAGUUUAAAGAAUGGAAAGAUAUAUUAUAGUCAGAUAGAUAAUACAAAGAACUCUAGUUUUUCAAAACCGAUGGGUCAAAAAGUUAUUAGUAUGAACAGAUAAAUUGAAAUGGGUUGCUUGUCGAUUAACUGGAAGAAACCGGGGAACGAAAGAAAUUUGUGUUUCUCUUAACGGAUUACGUACCCAAUAUUUUGUACUUGGAAAGCGCAACGAAAGCUGACUCAAAAUCAUGCAUGAUGAUGCUGUUUGGGCCCCCUGGUUGUACAUAGGAAGUGGACUCCUCGAGAAGAUGAAAGGUCUGCUUUACAUCAUUUUCAAUGAAAGUACAAGUACUUUGAGAAGUAGGAGAAGCUAAGCAACAGAACAGAAUUCAUUUGGGUCAUUGAUGUCUAGAUUAUAUAGUGGAUUCAUAGAUUGUCAUAUUGAUUUAUGUGCAUAUGAGCACAGAGGAGCAGUAGUCAAUGAAUAAUUUUGUGAUGAGAGCUUGUUACCAAAUGAAAGGAAAGUACAGUAUUGACAAUGAUUGAUAUAACUGGUGAACAUGUAUGUCAUGUAGGUGUGAAUGUCCUGCAAAAAAGAACUGAUAUCAAAGUAAGUUCAUCUGUAGAAUUGCAGUUAAUUUAAAUAAUUUGAUGUUAUCUACCUAAAACUGUUUCAAGUAUAACUGUACCUGUACACUGUUGCUUAUUUUUCUCACUUUCCCAUGUAAUGUAUGCAUCAAGGCAUCAUUACUUUGGCCCUUCUACUGCUCCAUUACACACACACUUGAGAUGUCAGAAGUUCAAACUAUCAUAGCAUUUACAUUUCAAACUUACACAGCUACAAU
This is a long non-coding RNA of Mytilus californianus (California mussel), 1376 nucleotides long. RefSeq lists it as uncharacterized. NCBI's taxonomy places the organism in Eukaryota, Metazoa, Mollusca, Bivalvia, Mytilida, Mytilidae. The record is from RefSeq and is a predicted model, not a curated record. The transcript has 4 exons.